This 2556-nucleotide long non-coding RNA is filed under the name Anolis carolinensis (green anole). RNAcentral's name for it is "lncRNA (ENSACAG00000042534.1)". Lineage: Eukaryota; Metazoa; Chordata; Lepidosauria; Squamata; Anolidae. The record is from RNAcentral.
AUGUCAAGUCAUAGCAAUGAGAUUUUGCAAACAAGGGUCAAAUCUCCCCGCCCAGUCAGAGAAAGGCACCCCACAGAGAAAACAAUGCUCUGCCUUUUGCAGCAGGAAGGCCAGCUUAGGCAGAGGUUUAACAGAGCUUGGCAAAACCUGCCGACCAUAGCUGAUGCAAUAAGGGCAUCCCUUUGCCCAAAGGAAAAGGAAAUUCUUAGGCAAGAAUUUUUAAAGGCCUUCAAUAAUGGGAGUGCUAUUGCAGAAGAAAUAAUCUAUGUACUGAACAAAAUUAACACUCCAGAGUCUUUAGAUAGGGCUAAGGAAAUUUCUUUUAGCCUACAAGAAGAGAGGAGGCGCUACAGCGCAGUUCUAUUUGAACCAGAGCCCAGUUCCUUAUUCAAAGGUGCAGAAGAAAGGGUUCAAGGCUCCCCAUGUGUAAGCCUUAGAUCCAGUCUGCUCAAGAUUCCAUCUAAUGAUGCUAGCCUUAAAUCCAAGCAUUCAUCUAGGCAUAGCAGUUCCUCCCAAUCCACACACUCAUUCAUCAGUACUUCUUCCAAAGCAGCCCACUACAACAGAGAGGCUGUCCGUUUGAAAAUUAGAAAAGAGGUUUCAGAAGCAGAGGCGUCUGCAGAAAUGGCUAGGCAAGACUUUGCCUUCAAUGAAGAGGAACUCCUCCUUCAACAGGCUAAAGCCAAGCAGAAACUGCUUCUAGCUCAGGCUAGGGCCCAGCAAGAAGCUGAUCUAGCGCAGGCUAGGGCCCAACAAGAAGCUGACCUAGCGCAGGCUAGGGCCCAACAAGAAGCUGACCUAGCACAGGCCAGGGCCCAGAGAGAAAUAGAGCUUGCAAUGGCUGAAGCCAAGCAAGAUGAGCUGCAACGGGAUCUAGAUCUGCUUCAAGUAAAAAGAGACACAGCACAAAAGAUAGUCAGAGCUAACGUUCUAGCCAAAGCCCUAUCACAGGAACUAACCCAAGAAAACCUUAGUUUCCUGCCAACACAAGAGCCUACAGCAAAGGUUUCAGCACAUCUGCAACUGGAAUCACCUGUAGUGCAGAGUCAUAUCUCCUUUCGCCACCUUGAAGAUCGCUCACCUGUUCCAGUGUUCGCGACUUCAAGGCCAGCCCAUUCCUCAGAAGUACAGCAAAGCACGGCCGGGAGAGUGCCAUCAUCUCUGUCAGAGUCCAUCCCUGCACUUAGGCCUCAGAGAUACCACCUGUCUACUUGGGAACGAAAGGACGACGUCUUUCAACAACAUCCAGAUGUCCAUCCACAUUGGCAAGGCAUGGCCGGGAGUGAACCACCACAUUCAUCCCUGCAUACCAAGUCAAUUCUCCCAUCGCUGAAGAUGAAGGCUUCAGAGGUGCUGCCUGCCAGCAAUCUGCUGAACCCAGCAUCGCCUACCAUCGCAAAAAGAUGUGUUCAACCGAAGAACAUUGAGUUUGUCACGCCACAUCACACUCCUCAGAUGUACCCUUACACACUGGAGUCUCAAUUGGGUUCCCUCUUGAGAAAUCCAAGAAGAGACAUCAGAGACAAAGGCGUCCAGAAAUUCACUGACCGACCGGAUGACUACCUUCUGUGGAAAAUCACCUUCAUGAGGGCCAUUCGAGAUUUCAAGCAAGAAGCGGAUGAAGAACUGUCCCUUCUUAUGGCGUGGCUUGGACCCAGCUCAGCCGAGCAAGUAAAAAGACUUUAUGCUGCUCAUGUAGCAGACCCCCAAAGAGCUUUGUCCACAGCGUGGUCUCGCUUGGACCAGCGCUUCGGUGCGAGCACUGAGAUAGAAGCGUCCCUCAUGGAUCGACUCAACAGGUUCCCAUCACUGAAGAUGAAAGAUUGCAAACAGCUUUGGGACUUUAGUGAUCUUUUACUAGAGCUAGCUUCAGCCAAAGGAAAUCCAGAGCUGCCAGGUUUAGCAUGUCUGGACCAGCACACGUCACAGAGUGCCAUUCUCUGCAAACUUCCUUUUCCUCUUCGAGAAGCUUGGGGGAAACAGGUGUUCAAGUACAAAGAGGAGAAUGCAAAUGUAUACCCACCCUUCACCUUUUUGGUGGAUUUCGUCACUAGAGCAGCCCGUGAGAGGAAUGACCCUCAAACAGGUCUUCUCGCUUUGUACCAAGACCUAAAGCCUGAAAAGACCUCCAAAGAAGACAAAACCCAGGGCAAAGAUCUUAGAAGGAACCUGAGUGUCAAGAUGACAGACGCAACUCCUGCAACUUCUGCUCAACCAGUCAGCAACAACACCAUAUCCUGUCCCAUUCAUCAAAGGCCACACAGCGUAGCUGAAUGCAGAGAGUUCGCAAAGAAGCCUUACAAAGAACGACUCCAAAUAGUUCAAAAGGCCAAGGUGUGCUUUAGAUGCUGCGGCGCCACUAUUCACUUCUCCAAAGACUGCAAAGAAAAGGUUAAAUGCCAACACUGCAACAGCAUCAAGCAUUGCUCUGCAAUGCACAACUUCGAUUCCCCUCAAUUCAAAGCAAAGUCAAAUUCUCCUACCAAAGAAGAAACCAAAGAAGACCAAAAGCCUACAGAACCUCAGGUAGCCCUCAAGGCUCCUGCGGUUCUGUAG